Molecule: ribosomal RNA, 253 nt
Filed under: uncultured bacterium
Lineage: Bacteria
Description: partial 16S ribosomal RNA
Rfam family: Bacterial small subunit ribosomal RNA
Source: RNAcentral
UACGGAGGGUGCGAGCGUUGUCCGGAAUCACUGGGCGUAAAGGGCGCGUAGGCGGCGCGGUAAGCACGCGGUGAAAGCCCGGGGCUCAACCCCGGGUCGGCCGUGCGGACUGCCGCGCUGGAGCACUGUAGAGGCGGGCGGAAUUCCGGGUGUAGCGGUGGAAUGCGUAGAUAUCGAGAGGAACACCUGCGGCGAAGGCGGGUUGCUGGGCUGAUACUGACGCUGAGGCGCGAAAGCCAGGGGAGCGAACGGG